Molecule: ribosomal RNA, 510 nt
Filed under: uncultured bacterium
Lineage: Bacteria
Description: partial 16S ribosomal RNA
Rfam family: Bacterial small subunit ribosomal RNA
Source: RNAcentral
GACGAACGCUGGCGGCGUGCUUAACACAUGCAAGUCGAACGAAGAGCGAUGGAAGCUUGCUUCUAUCAAUCUUAGUGGCGAACGGGUGAGUAACGCGUAAUCAACCUGCCUUUCAGAGGGGGAAAACAGUUGGAAACGACCGCUAAUACCGCAUACGAUCUAAUCUCGGCAUCGAGGAUAGAUGAAAGGUGGCCUCUACAUGUAAGCUAUCACCGAAGGAGGGGAUUGCGUCUGAUUAGCUAGUUGGAGGGGUAACGGCCCACCAAGGCGAUGAUCAGUAGGCGGUCUGAGAGGAGGAACCGCCACAAUGGGACUGAGACACGGCCCAGACUCCUACGGGAAGCAGCAGUGGGGAAUCUUCCGCAAUGGACGGAAGUCUGACGGAGCAACGCCGCGUGAGCGAGGACGGCCUUCGGGUUGUAAAGCUCUGUUAAUCGGGACGAAAGGCCUUCUUGCGAAUAGUGAGAAGGAUUGACGGUACCGGAAUAGAAAGCCACGGCUAACUACGUG